This 87-nucleotide transfer RNA is filed under the name Bacteroidetes bacterium 4572_77. Its description in RNAcentral is "tRNA-Leu". It matches the Rfam family "tRNA". From Rfam's summary of the family: Transfer RNA (tRNA) molecules are approximately 80 nucleotides in length. Lineage: Bacteria; Pseudomonadati; Bacteroidota. The record is from RNAcentral.
GCCCAGGUGGUGAAAUUGGUAGACACGCAUGCUUGAGGGGCAUGUGCUCGAAAGGGCGUGUAAGUUCGAAUCUUAUUCUGGGCACAA